This 620-nucleotide long non-coding RNA is filed under the name Monodelphis domestica (gray short-tailed opossum). RNAcentral's name for it is "lncRNA (ENSMODG00000047192.1)". Lineage: Eukaryota; Metazoa; Chordata; Mammalia; Didelphimorphia; Didelphidae. The record is from RNAcentral.
UUCUCAGGCUAAAGAGGGUGCUCCUGUUCAGUUACAGGAGGGACUGUGCAGUCAUCUAAGUCCCUUCCAGCCCUGAGAUUCUGGGAUUGUAUGUGUAUGUAGUCUUGGUUCAUAAAAGGGAUGCCAAGGACCAGUUGAUAGUCUGCCAAUGCUUCCCCUCAGGACUUCAACCUGUGGAACACUUCAAACUGCUGGUGACUUGCCAAGGAGAGAGAUGUGUCUGAAAAAGUCGAGCUCGUGAAAUAUUCUCUUCUCAUUCAUCAAGUCCAUUCCAAGUGUAAGCAAUGGUUGUGUCCUGUGGCAGCCAUGGUGGAAGCCGGGAUAACUUCAUGGCAUCUGCAUGAAUGUCACGCCAAUCUGGGGAAUACAUUUGGUACUCGAUGAACCCCAGGAUGGAGAAGAGCCUCUGAGGCAUAAAUGACUCUAGUAUCCCCAGUGAACUGAGCUCAAGUCUACUACCCUCCACACUUGAUCUGUUGCCUAGAGACAAAAGGUGAGUUUAAGAUACCCUUUCCCAUACCUGAGGGUGUAGUCUCAUCAGCUUUUACAAAGGUCUUCACCUAUAUAGGACAAACUUAUAAUUCGGGUUACUGUCUUAGAAAUUAAGGUAUUCCUGUAAU